This 465-nucleotide ribosomal RNA is filed under the name uncultured Oscillibacter sp. RNAcentral's name for it is "partial 16S ribosomal RNA". The record is from RNAcentral. Lineage: Bacteria; Bacillati; Bacillota; Clostridia; Eubacteriales; Oscillospiraceae.
CACGUAGUUAGCCGUGGCUUAUUCAAGGGGUACCGUCUUCUGCUCUUCCCCCUUAAAAGAAGUUUACAACCCGAAAGCCUCCUUCCUUCACGCGGCGUUGCUGGGUCAGGCUUGCGCCCAUUGCCCAAUAUUCCCCACUGCUGCCUCCCGUAGGAGUCUGGGCCGUAUCUCAGUCCCAAUGUGGCCGGCCAACCUCUCAGUCCGGCCACUGAUCGUCGCCUUGGUGGGCCGUUACCUCACCAACUAGCUAAUCAGACGCGAGGCCAUCUUCCAGCGAUAAUCUUUGGCGUCAGAGUCAUGCGGCUCCAACGCAUCAUGCGGUAUUAGCAGUCGUUACCAACUUGUUCGUCCCCCUCUAGGGAAGGCUACGGUUCCUCACGCGUUACUCACCACGUCCGCCAACUAAGCUACUUCCCAUUCCGUUGUACCCGAAAACUCCUUCGAGGGGUGCCUCCGUUCGACUUG